GACGAACGCUGGCGGCGUGCCUAAUACAUGCAAGUAGAACGCUGAAGAGAGGAGCUUGCUCUUCUUGGAUGAGUUGCGAACGGGUGAGUAACGCGUAGGUAACCUGCCUGGUAGCGGGGGAUAACUAUUGGAAACGAUAGCUAAUACCGCAUAAAAUUGAUUAUUGCAUGAUAAUUAAUUGAAAGAUGCAAUUGCAUCACUACCAGAUGGACCUGCGUUGUAUUAGCUAGUUGGUGAGGUAACGGCUCACCAAGGCGACGAUACAUAGCCGACCUGAGAGGGUGAUCGGCCACACUGGGACUGAGACAUGGCCCAGACUCCUACGGGAGGCAGCAGUAGGGAAUCUUCGGCAAUGGGGGGAACCCUGACCGAGCAACGCCGCGUGAGUGAAGAAGGUUUUCGGAUCGUAAAGCUCUGUUGUAAGAGAAGAACGGGUGUGAGAGUGGAAAGUUCACACUGUGACGGUAUCUUACCAGAAAGGGACGGCUAACUACGUGCCAGCAGCCGCGGUAAUACGUAGGUCCCGAGCGUUGUCCGGAUUUAUUGGGCGUAAAGCGAGCGCAGGCGGUUAGAUAAGUCUGAAGUUAAAGGCUGUGGCUUAACCAUAGUAUGCUUUGGAAACUGUUUAACUUGAGUGCAGAAGGGGAGAGUGGAAUUCCAUGUGUAGCGGUGAAAUGCGUAGAUAUAUGGAGGAACACCGGUGGCGAAAGCGGCUCUCUGGUCUGUAACUGACGCUGAGGCUCGAAAGCAUGGGGAGCAAACAGGAUUAGAUACCCUGGUAGUCCACGCCGUAAACGAUGAGUGCUAGGUGCUAGGCCCUUUCCGGGGCUUAGUGCCGCAGCUAACGCAUUAAGCACUCCGCCUGGGGAGUACGACCGCAAGGUUGAAACUCAAAGGAAUUGACGGGGGCCCGCACAAGCGGUGGAGCAUGUGGUUUAAUUCGAAGCAACGCGAAGAACCUUACCAGGUCUUGACAUCCCUCUGACCGCUCUAGAGAUAGAGUUUUCCUUCGGGACAGAGGUGACAGGUGGUGCAUGGUUGUCGUCAGCUCGUGUCGUGAGAUGUUGGGUUAAGUCCCGCAACGAGCGCAACCCCUAUUGUUAGUUGCCAUCAUUGAGUUGGGCACUCUAGCGAGACUGCCGGUAAUAAACCGGAGGAAGGUGGGGAUGACGUCAAAUCAUCAUGCCCCUUAUGACCUGGGCUACACACGUGCUACAAUGGCUGGUACAACGAGUCGCAAGCCGGUGACGGCAAGCUAAUCUCUGAAAGCCAGUCUCAGUUCGGAUUGUAGGCUGCAACUCGCCUACAUGAAGUCGGAAUCGCUAGUAAUCGCGGAUCAGCACGCCGCGGUGAAUGCGUUCCCGGGCCU
Molecule: ribosomal RNA, 1369 nt
Filed under: uncultured bacterium
Lineage: Bacteria
Description: bacterial SSU rRNA
Rfam family: Bacterial small subunit ribosomal RNA
Source: RNAcentral